CACGCAGGCGGUUUUUUAAGUCAGAUGUGAAAGGUACCAGCUCAACCGGUGACAUGCAUUUGAAACUGAAAGACUUGAGUAUUGGAGAGGCAAGUGGAAUUCCUAGUGUAGCGGUGAAAUGCGUAGAUAUUAGGAGGAACACCGGUGGCGAAGGCGGCUUGCUGGACAAAUACUGACGCUGAGGUGCGAAAGCGUGGGGAGCAAACA
This 207-nucleotide ribosomal RNA is filed under the name uncultured bacterium. RNAcentral's name for it is "partial 16S ribosomal RNA". It matches the Rfam family "Bacterial small subunit ribosomal RNA", at positions 568 to 774 of the family's 1533-position model. The record is from RNAcentral.